This is a non-coding RNA of Heligmosomoides polygyrus, 72 nucleotides long. The record is from Rfam. Lineage: Eukaryota; Metazoa; Nematoda; Chromadorea; Rhabditida; Heligmosomidae.
ACGCCGGUGGUGUAAGGCGUAGCAUCGCUGCCCGGGAAACAGAAGGUGCGGGUUCGAGUCCCGCCUGACGCA